Ciona intestinalis (vase tunicate) is the source of this 264-nucleotide non-coding RNA. The record is from RefSeq and is a predicted model, not a curated record. NCBI's taxonomy places the organism in Eukaryota, Metazoa, Chordata, Ascidiacea, Phlebobranchia, Cionidae.
GAAAUGGAAGUCGCCAAAACGUUGAGCUUCAGAUUUCCUAUAUAAGACACAGUUUCUGUUAAACAAACCACCAGUCUUCUACAGACCACAACGUAAAAAUGAACAAGUCAGCACUUCUCCUGUUGCUCGUCAUCGGACUCCUCGUUCUCACUGAAACCACUGAUGCCUAUUGGGGUCGUCGUCGUCGUCGCAGAUAUCGUUCUGCAUACAGCCAAAAGUCAACAAGUGUUGAAGAAAAUGAUGUAAUGAUGAAUGAAAUUAUGC